UUCUAAAAUAAGUUUAUGUUAAUUUCAGCAUAUAAACUAGAUCCAUAGAUAUUUUCAUAUGAUGAAUGUAUCUUUAGAUUAAAAAUAUUUUAAUCUGAUAUUUUUGCUACAUUUUGAAUUUAGAGAAGUUUUGAAAUCCACAUGCACUAGCACUUAUAGAAAAUCCAACAGUGAUAUCAGAGCCACAAGUUCAUAUGUAUGAAAAUAGCAUAAAAAUUUUGAAAACUAUUUUUAAAAUUUUGAUUUUAGAUCAUACAUGAGAUGUAUGCAUUUAUACUUAAAUCUGAAAAGUAUUUUAGUUCAGAUUUUUAAUUAUAUAUACGAUAUAUGAAAACAAGCGUAGGUUAG
Molecule: long non-coding RNA, 348 nt
Filed under: Elaeis guineensis (African oil palm)
Lineage: Eukaryota; Viridiplantae; Streptophyta; Magnoliopsida; Arecales; Arecaceae
Description: long non-coding RNA (EGUI_LNC060152)
Source: RNAcentral